UGAAAGGUAGUUCUACAUCCAUCCAA
This 26-nucleotide non-coding RNA is filed under the name Rattus norvegicus (Norway rat). The record is from RNAcentral. Lineage: Eukaryota; Metazoa; Chordata; Mammalia; Rodentia; Muridae.